GAUGAACGCUGGCGGCGUGCCUAAUACAUGCAAGUCGAGCGAACGGACGAGAAGCUUGCCUCUCUGAUGUUAGCGGCGGACGGGUGAGUAACACGUGGAUAACCUACCUAUAAGACUGGGAUAACUUCGGGAAACCGGAGCUAAUACCGGAUAAUAUUUUGAACCGCAUGGUUCAAAAGUGAAAGACGGUCUUGCUGUCACUUAUAGAUGGAUCCGCGCUGCAUUAGCUAGUUGGUAAGGUAACGGCUUACCAAGGCAACGAUGCAUAGCCGACCUGAGAGGGUGAUCGGCCACACUGGAACUGAGACACGGUCCAGACUCCUACGGGAGGCAGCAGUAGGGAAUCUUCCGCAAUGGGCGAAAGCCUGACGGAGCUACGCCGCGUGAGUGAUGAAGGUCUUCGGAUCGUAAAACUCUGUUAUUAGGGAAGAACAUAUGUGUAAGUAACUGUGCACAUCUUGACGGUACCUAAUCAGAAAGCCACGGCUAACUACGUG
Molecule: ribosomal RNA, 497 nt
Filed under: uncultured bacterium
Lineage: Bacteria
Description: partial 16S ribosomal RNA
Rfam family: Bacterial small subunit ribosomal RNA
Source: RNAcentral